RNAcentral lists this ribosomal RNA (392 nucleotides) under Limnofila sp. Its description in RNAcentral is "partial small subunit ribosomal RNA". It matches the Rfam family "Eukaryotic small subunit ribosomal RNA", at positions 587 to 975 of the family's 1831-position model. Lineage: Eukaryota; Cercozoa. The record is from RNAcentral.
AGCUCCAAUAGCGUAUAUUAAUGUUGCUGCAGUUAAAAAGCUCGUAGUUGGAUUUCUGACCUGGAGCGCCUGGCCCGUAAGCGAAAGCUCAUGAGCGCCGGAGCGCUUCGGUCAUCCGUUCAGAGACCCUUUCUGCCCUUCGCGGGGUUGGACUGUGGGAUCUGAACCAUUUACUUUGAAGAAAAUAGGGUGUUCAAAGCAGGCUUUUGCUAUGAAUACUUCAGCAUGGAAUAAUAAGAUAGGACUUUGGUUUUAUUUUGUUGGUUUCUAAAACUAAAGUAAUGAUUGAUAGGGACGGUUGGGGGUGCUAGUAUUUAACGGCCAGAGGUGAAAUUCUUGGAUUCGUUAAAGACUAACUUAGGCGAAAGCAUUCACCAAGGACGUUCUCUUUA